Macaca mulatta (Rhesus monkey) is the source of this 2708-nucleotide non-coding RNA. The record is from RefSeq and is a predicted model, not a curated record. NCBI's taxonomy places the organism in Eukaryota, Metazoa, Chordata, Mammalia, Primates, Cercopithecidae.
AUUUUUUUCAGUUUAAAGAAGUUAUCCUCUAGCCCAUUAUGCCAAGGAUUUUAAGCUGAAUGAAUAUAAAAAUUAAUCAAAUAUGUUUUGGUGCCUCCUGAGGUGAUCUUAGGCCUUUCUAGUUUGAUUUCUAAGUAUGGCUAACUACAUUAAUUGAUUUUUCAAUGUUAAACCAAAAUGUACAUUUCUGGAAUAGAUUUAACCUGGUCAUUCUUUAACUUUGGGUUCCCCUAAAAAAUGACCUUGAGAGAAGGGCUCAGCGUCUGAUCGUUCCAGCAUCUGGCUGUGGAGCUGUGUGACUGAGUCAUCAUCUGUUGCUUUGUUCGCUGACUUCCAACCUUUGUGCCUAGAUGAUAUUGAAGUCGCCAUCUCUCCCUUUGAAGGGCAGGGACUUGUGUAUGUGUUUGUCCUUUCACUCAGCAUGGCUCUUGGAGUUUCUGGCUGCAUGAGAAGGUCUAGGGAGACUCUCCCCUUCCAAGAGCCCUCCACGUUGUCUUCUGCCUUUUACGGCUACUGAAACCACAGCACAAGGUGUGGGGACGUUACCAGGUUCCCCCAGAGCCAUCAUUCCUUGCGUGCCUGCCUCCUUUUGUUUCGUCCCCUGGGAUUUCUCCUACAUUCUUGCAAGGUCAUUAUGAACUUAAAAGGAUGCGGAUUUUUAUUUUAUUUUAUACUAUGGAGGUAUUUUACAGCAGGGAUUUUUUCAGGGUAUCAAGACUAGAAGUUUUGCCCAAAAGGGAAAACCAGAGGCUUUCAAUAUUUUUUGAAUUCUAUCUAAAAACCUUUUUUUUAUGUUCAUUCUUUGUUUUUGUACUAGAAAGAACAUGUAACUAUUUUAUAUAUAGUCUUUAAAUGACAUUUUAUGUGAAUACAGUGUCACAGCAAUAGAUAGCAAUACCAAAUAAAAUACAUUCCAAAGAAGCUGCUUAAAAAUUUGAAGACAUUGAACCCUAAAAGGAUGACUUAUUUCCUCAAUAAAUCAUGUAGAAAGGGAAACUUGUUUGCAGUAUGAAUUAUAUUUUGUAGUAUGGGAAAACAAAGGAGAGAAGAGAAAUCCUCCUUUCCUUAACUAGCAGAUUUCUGUAAUGUGACAGCCUGGGAGAGACGACAAAGAACGUAGUUUUGAGAGGCACCUUUUGCCAUUUACUUCUGGCUGGUCAGGACUGCCACCUAAAGCCACACGCAACUUCAGGAGCACCACCCACAAAUACAACACUCUGAACAGGGCUCCCUGGCUGUGUACAGUGUGGCUGCCCUGAUCCUGUGGCAGAUAACAUUCCCGAACAUUUAGUUACUCACCUGUGACAUCAGAAUCAUAGUAAAGUUCAUGCAAAGAACAAAAAGGAUAAUAUGCAUGAAAUCACGAUAUAAAUGUUAUCGCCACCAUGCCCAUCUUUGAAAGAACCUAUACAAUCGCUACAAAUUCUGCUUGAUUUUUGCCACUCAUUUAACUUCUUAAAAACUUUACCUUACAGAAUAAAGCCAUAAAAACAUCUUGGUUGAAGCAAAGGGAAGCAGCAAAGAAACUGACUCCUCCCAGUUGCCCACCAUACACUCCCUUUUCAUCUCAACAGUGAGUUAGGUGGACAACCGUCUCCCACUGUCUCCCGGUGCCAUCUCUAAUCUUACAGCCUCACUGGAGUUAUCCAAGGUCCUGAAGACACCCCAGUGACACUCCCCAGUCUCACAGUUUGAAGGUUGCAGUUCAGGGAUCAGACUGUCUCUCCAGGCAACAAACAUCUGCACCAGCUGGACUGCUGCUACUGUGCGGGGUGGGGUGUGAUGGACAGUGGGGUCCUGUACUACGGGCCUGUCGUCCUGGGUCUGUUCUGCCCAGUGGACCUGUCCAGGCUGCUGCAGGAGUGGUGAUGCUCAUGCCACCUGGCCACUUGACCUUGCUCUGCAUAACCUAAUGACCACCAUCGUUUAAUGGUUGCAUCACAUUCCAUCACACGGUCAAUAGUUGUUUUUCUCUACUUUUUUAUUGUUAGGUAUUGCCUUUUUUUUUCUCUUAUUUCUUUCAGUGAUAAAUGCUGGUUUGAUGAAUGUGGUAUACAUCUUUUUUGUUUGUGUUUUGCAUUAUUCCUGGGAAGAACAGAUUUCUCAGUGUAGAAAUACUGAUUCAGAAGCUCUGCAUGUUUUUAAGCUUCAUAUGCGUAAUGCUGAGUUGCUUUCUGCAGAAGUUAGCCCAACAGCAUAUAACCAUGCCUCUUUUUUCCCAUUCUCUUCAGCGCUGUUUUAAUAGUGUUAAAUAUUUGUACCUUGUAAUAGUGCAAAAUUAUGUCCCUAUGUUUCAGUCCUCUCUCCUUUGAUUACUAGAAAUGUUGAAGUGUUUUCAUUAUUAAGCACAGGUGUAAAUCCAUUUCUACAGUUUUGCUAACUUUUCUUGGGUUGGUAAUAUCUUUAUCACCAAUGUAUGUGAACUUAGAUUAUAGGAAGUUUAUUAAACCUUUGUGAUGUAUUUGUUAUAAAUAUUUUUCUGAAUUAUUAGAUAAGUUAUAAUUUGGUUAAUUAUGUGUGUUGGCCCACAUAAGUUUAAAGUUGCUAUGUACUCAAAAUUUUUCCAUUGUGAUUUACUUAAUACAUUUUCACACUUAGAAAUUUCUUCCUUGUCCGCUGUUGCUUACGCUUUCUUAGAAUUUAUUAUGUCCUUAUGUAUUUAAUGCUUUUCUUUUAGUAAAUGGUGAAAAUAAAAAUCAAAACCCUUC